This 292-nucleotide ribosomal RNA is filed under the name uncultured bacterium. RNAcentral describes it as "partial 16S ribosomal RNA". It matches the Rfam family "Bacterial small subunit ribosomal RNA", at positions 505 to 796 of the family's 1533-position model. The record is from RNAcentral.
GUGCCAGCCGCCGCGGUAAUACGUAGGUGGCAAGCGUUGUCCGGAAUUACUGGGCGUAAAGGGCGUGUAGGCGGCUUUUUAAGUCAGACGUGAAAUCUCCAGGCUUAACCUGGAAACUGCGUUUGAAACUGGAGAGCUUGAGGAUCGGAGAGGGCAGUGGAAUUCCCAGUGUAGCGGUGAAAUGCGUAGAUAUUGGGAGGAACACCAGUGGCGAAGGCGACUGCCUGGACGACACCUGACGCUGAGGCGCGAAAGCUAGGGGAGCAAACGGGAUUAGAAACCCUGGUAGUCC